CAGUCGCCACGGGAAUACGAGGGGGGCAAGCGUUGUUCGGAACUAUUGGGCGUAAAGGGUGCGUAGGCGGUUUGACAAGUCUUAUGUGAAAUCUCUAGGCUCAACCCAGAGUCUGCAUGGGAAACUGUCGGGCUUGAGUAUGGGAGAGGUGAGUGGAAUUUCCGGUGUAGCGGUGAAAUGCGUAGAUAUCGGAAGGAACACCUGUGGCGAAAGCGGCUCACUGGACCAUAACUGACGCUGAUGCACGAAAGCUAGGGGAGCAAACAGGAUUAGAUACCCCUGUAGUCCCUGUCUCUUAUAC
Molecule: ribosomal RNA, 301 nt
Filed under: uncultured bacterium
Lineage: Bacteria
Description: partial 16S ribosomal RNA
Rfam family: Bacterial small subunit ribosomal RNA
Source: RNAcentral